This 448-nucleotide ribosomal RNA is filed under the name uncultured Geobacter sp. RNAcentral's name for it is "bacterial SSU rRNA". It matches the Rfam family "Bacterial small subunit ribosomal RNA", at positions 936 to 1382 of the family's 1533-position model. Lineage: Bacteria; Pseudomonadati; Thermodesulfobacteriota; Desulfuromonadia; Geobacterales; Geobacteraceae. The record is from RNAcentral.
AGCAUGUGGUUUAAUUCGAUGCAACGCGAAGAACCUUACCUGGGCUUGACAUCCCGGGAAUCCCUUGGAAACAAGGGAGUGCCCUUCGGGGAAUCUGGAGACAGGUGCUGCAUGGCUGUCGUCAGCUCGCGUCGUGAGAUGUUGGGUUAAGUCCCGCAACGAGCGCAACCCCUAUCCUCAGUUGCCAUCAUUAAGUUGGGCACUCUGUGGAGACUGCCGGUGUCAAACCGGAGGAAGGUGGGAUGACGUCAAGUCCUCAUGGCCCUUAUGACCAGGGCUACACACGUGCUACAAUGGCCGGUACAAAGAGUUGCGAUACCGCGAGGUGGAGCUAAUCUCAUAAAGCCGGUCUCAGUUCGGAUUGGAGUCUGCAACUCGACUCCAUGAAGUUGGAAUCGCUAGUAAUCGCGGAUCAGCAUGCCCGCGGUCGAAUACGUUCCCGGGCCUU